This 202-nucleotide unclassified non-coding RNA is filed under the name uncultured Entolomataceae. Its description in RNAcentral is "partial internal transcribed spacer 2". The record is from RNAcentral. Lineage: Eukaryota; Fungi; Basidiomycota; Agaricomycetes; Agaricales; Entolomataceae.
AAUUCUCAACCUGUCGUACUUUCACAAGUUCGUCAGGCUUGGAUUAUGGGACUUGCUGGUUUUUCCAAAAUCAGCUCUCCUCAAAUGCAUUAGCAUAAUCUCUGCUGACCAUCUUUGGUAUGAUAAUUAUCUAUACUAUUGAGAGUUAGUUUUCCGUCUUGGAAGGAUUUUGCUUCUAAUUGUCUUUGCAGACAACUUGACA